CUGCAGAGAACAAAAGAGCACUGAUAUCGAUGUAAGCGUAAGGGAUAGGCGGACGACGAACGGGACGAGAAGGACGGAUCGAGUCCGCUGUACUUAGACAUGUACGUAGGUACAGUACGUACGUAGUGCAAGUCCGCCCGACGGACGGGCAUGGGAAAGGUAUUAUCUAAGAUCGAGUGGAUACACUUUUUUGUCACCCACAUGGCUCUCUCUCUUGACUCUCAAUCUUCUUUGACAAAGACUUAUCCUCUCAUCACACAACUACCUACUAGCCCUCCUCUUGCACCAGGGCAACUUAGCAGCAGAACAGACGGCCAGGGAUGGACGUAGUAAGGUCUGGUGAUG
This 345-nucleotide small RNA is filed under the name Cryptococcus neoformans H99. Its description in RNAcentral is "Cryptococcus neoformans var. grubii H99 hypothetical RNA". The record is from RNAcentral. Lineage: Eukaryota; Fungi; Basidiomycota; Tremellomycetes; Tremellales; Cryptococcaceae.